Molecule: ribosomal RNA, 913 nt
Filed under: Salmonella enterica subsp. enterica serovar Enteritidis
Lineage: Bacteria; Pseudomonadati; Pseudomonadota; Gammaproteobacteria; Enterobacterales; Enterobacteriaceae
Description: partial 23S ribosomal RNA
Rfam family: Bacterial large subunit ribosomal RNA
Source: RNAcentral
GAAGGUGUGUCGUGAGGCAUGCUGGAGGUAUCAGAAGUGCGAAUGCUGACAUAAGUAACGAUAAAGCGGGUGAAAAGCCCGCUCGCCGGAAGACCAAGGGUUCCUGUCCAACGUUAAUCGGGGCAGGGUGAGUCGACCCCUAAGGCGAGGCCGAAAGGCGUAGUCGAUGGGAAACGGGUUAAUAUUCCCGUACUUGGUGUUACUGCGAAGGGGGGACGGAGAAGGCUAUGUUGGCCGGGCGACGGUUGUCCCGGUUUAAGCGUGUAGGUGUGUGUUCCAGGUAAAUCCGGUUCACUUUAACACUGAGGCGUGACGACGAGGCACUACGGUGCUGAAGCAACAAAUGCCCUGCUUCCAGGAAAAGCCUCUAAGCAUCAGGUAACAUCAAAUCGUACCCCAAACCGACACAGGUGGUCAGGUAGAGAAUACCAAGGCGCUUGAGAGAACUCGGGUGAAGGAACUAGGCAAAAUGGUGCCGUAACUUCGGGAGAAGGCACGCUGACACGUAGGUGAAGUGAUUUACUCAUGGAGCUGAAGUCAGUCGAAGAUACCAGCUGGCUGCAACUGUUUAUUAAAAACACAGCACUGUGCAAACACGAAAGUGGACGUAUACGGUGUGACGCCUGCCCGGUGCCGGAAGGUUAAUUGAUGGGGUCAGCGCAAGCGAAGCUCCUGAUCGAAGCCCCGGUAAACGGCGGCCGUAACUAUAACGGUCCUAAGGUAGCGAAAUUCCUUGUCGGGUAAGUUCCGACCUGCACGAAUGGCGUAAUGAUGGCCAGGCUGUCUCCACCCGAGACUCAGUGAAAUUGAACUCGCUGUGAAGAUGCAGUGUACCCGCGGCAAGACGGAAAGACCCCGUGAACCUUUACUAUAGCUUGACACUGAACAUUGAGCCUUGAUGUGUAGGAUAGGU